This is a regulatory RNA element of Pseudomonas rhizosphaerae, 111 nucleotides long. It matches the Rfam family "Pseudomon-groES RNA". The record is from Rfam. Lineage: Bacteria; Pseudomonadati; Pseudomonadota; Gammaproteobacteria; Pseudomonadales; Pseudomonadaceae.
GUAUGGGUCACCGCAAGGUCUGUGGCAUCAGCGCCACACAUGUUUCCGCGUCUUGCCGUGCAAGGCGCGACCGGUUACGCCGGAAGAUCCACACCGCCGGUACACACCGGC